GAGUUUGAUCAUGGCUCAGAUUGAACGCUGGCGGCAGGCCUAACACAUGCAAGUCGGGCGGUAGAGAGAAGCUUGCUUCUCUUGAGAGCGGCGGACGGGUGAGUAAUGCCUAGGAAUCUGCCUGGUAGUGGGGGAUAACGCUCGGAAACGGACGCUAAUACCGCAUACGUCCUACGGGAGAAAGCAGGGGACCUUCGGGCCUUGCGCUAUCAGAUGAGCCUAGGUCGGAUUAGCUAGUUGGUGAGGUAAUGGCUCACCAAGGCGACGAUCCGUAACUGGUCUGAGAGGAUGAUCAGUCACACUGGAACUGAGACACGGUCCAGACUCCUACGGGAGGCAGCAGUGGGGAAUAUUGGACAAUGGGCGAAAGCCUGAUCCAGCCAUGCCGCGUGUGUGAAGAAGGUCUUCGGAUUGUAAAGCACUUUAAGUUGGGAGGAAGGGCAGUAAAUUAAUACUUUGCUGUUUUGACGUUACCGACAGAAUAAGCACCGGCUAACUCUGUGCCAGCCGCCGG
This 514-nucleotide ribosomal RNA is filed under the name uncultured bacterium. RNAcentral describes it as "bacterial SSU rRNA". It matches the Rfam family "Bacterial small subunit ribosomal RNA", at positions 9 to 518 of the family's 1533-position model. The record is from RNAcentral.